This 133-nucleotide ribosomal RNA is filed under the name uncultured bacterium. RNAcentral describes it as "partial 16S ribosomal RNA". The record is from RNAcentral.
CGGAGUUAGCCGGUGCUUAUUCAUAUGCUACCGUCAUUUUCUUGACAUAUAAAAGGAGUUUACACACCGAAAUGCGUCAUCCUCCACGCGGCGUUGCUGCAUCAGGGUUUCCCCCAUUGUGCAAUAUUCCUCA